UGAGUAACCUGCCCUUCACUCUGGGAUAACUCCGGGAAACCGGGGCUAAUACCGGAUAUGACUCCUCAUCGCAUGGUGGGGGUGGAAAGCUUUUGUGGUUUUGGAUGGACUCGCGGCCUAUCAGCUUGUUGGUGAGGUAAUGGCUCACCAAGGCGACGACGGGUAGCCGGCCUGAGAGGGUGACCGGCCACACUGGGACUGAGACACGGCCCAGACCUCCGUACGGGGAGCAG
This 233-nucleotide ribosomal RNA is filed under the name uncultured bacterium. RNAcentral describes it as "partial 16S ribosomal RNA". It matches the Rfam family "Bacterial small subunit ribosomal RNA", at positions 118 to 351 of the family's 1533-position model. The record is from RNAcentral.